This 253-nucleotide ribosomal RNA is filed under the name uncultured bacterium. Its description in RNAcentral is "partial 16S ribosomal RNA". It matches the Rfam family "Bacterial small subunit ribosomal RNA", at positions 524 to 776 of the family's 1533-position model. The record is from RNAcentral.
UACGUAGGGACCGAGCGUUGUCCGGAAUCAUUGGGCGUAAAGAGCGUGUAGGCGGCCAACUAAGUCCUGCGUGAAAUCUCGGGGCUCAACCCCGAGCGGUCGUGGGAAACUGGUUGGCUAGAGUGCGGGAGAGGAGAGUGGAAUUCUUGGUGUAGCAGUGAAAUGCGUAGAUAUCAAGAGGAACACCAGUGGCGAAGGCGAGUCCCUGGACGAUACCUGACACUGAGGCACGAAAGCUAGGGGAGCAAACAGG